GUAGGCAGCGAGCGUUGUUCGGAGUUACUGGGCGUAAAGGGUGUGUAGGCGGUUGUUUAAGUUUGGUGUGAAAUCUCCCGGCUCAACUGGGAGGGUGCGCCGAAUACUGAAUGACUAGAGUGCGGGAGAGGAAAGUGGAAUUCCUGGUGUAGCGGUGAAAUGCGUAGAUAUCAGGAGGAACACCGGUGGUGUAGACGGCUUUCUGGACCGUAACUGACGCUGAGACACGAAAGCGUGGGUAGCAAACAGGAUUAGAUACCCUGGUAGUCCACGCCCUAAACGAUGCAUAUUUGGUGUGGGCAGUUCAUUCUGUCCGUGCCGGAGCUAACGCGUUAAAUAUGCCGCCUGGGGAGUACAGUCGCAAGGCUG
This 369-nucleotide ribosomal RNA is filed under the name uncultured bacterium. Its description in RNAcentral is "bacterial SSU rRNA". It matches the Rfam family "Bacterial small subunit ribosomal RNA", at positions 527 to 896 of the family's 1533-position model. The record is from RNAcentral.